Molecule: ribosomal RNA, 524 nt
Filed under: uncultured bacterium
Lineage: Bacteria
Description: partial 16S ribosomal RNA
Rfam family: Bacterial small subunit ribosomal RNA
Source: RNAcentral
UGGGGAAUUUUGGACAAUGGGCGAAAGCCUGAUCCAGCAAUGCCGCGUGUGUGAAGAAGGCCUUCGGGUUGUAAAGCACUUUUGUCCGGAAAGAAAUCCUUGGCUCUAAUACAGUCGGGGGAUGACGGUACCGGAAGAAUAAGCACCGGCUAACUACGUGCCAGCAGCCGCGGUAAUACGUAGGGUGCAAGCGUUAAUCGGAAUUACUGGGCGUAAAGCGUGCGCAGGCGGUUUGCUAAGACCGAUGUGAGAUCCCCCGGGCUCAACCUGGGAACUGCAUUGGUGACUGGCAGGCUAGAGUAUGGCAGANAGGGGGUAGAAUUUCCACGUGUAGCAGUGAAAUGCGUAGAGAUGUGGAGGAAUACCGAUGGCGAAGGCAGCCCCCUGGGCCAAUACUGACGCUCAUGCACGAAAGCGUGGGGAGCAAACAGGAUUAGAUACCCUGGUAGUCCACGCCCUAAACGAUGUCAACUAGUUGUUGGGGACUUCAUUUCCUUAGUAACGUAGCUAACGCGUGAAGUUGA